This 253-nucleotide ribosomal RNA is filed under the name uncultured bacterium. RNAcentral describes it as "partial 16S ribosomal RNA". It matches the Rfam family "Bacterial small subunit ribosomal RNA", at positions 524 to 776 of the family's 1533-position model. The record is from RNAcentral.
UACGGAGGGGGCAAGCGUUAUUCGGAAUUAUUGGGCGUAAAGGGCGCGUAGGCGGCUAGAUGUGUCAAAGGUGAAAUCCCUCGGCUCAACUGAGGAACUGCCUUUGAAACUGUCUGGCUUGAGGCCGGGAGAGGGUAGCGGAAUUCCCAGUGUGGCGGUGAAAUGCGUAGAUAUUGGGAGGAACACCAGUGGCGAAGGCGGCUACCUGGACCGGUUCUGACGCUGAGGCGCGAAAGCGUGGGUAGCAAACAGG